AGAGUUUGAUCAUGGCUCAGAUUGAACGCUGGCGGCAGGCUUAACACGUGCAAGUCGAACGAUGACUCUCUAGCUUGCUAGAGAUGAUUAGUGGCGGACGGGUGAGUAACAUUUAGGAAUCUACCUAGUAGUGGGGGAUAGCUCGGGGAAACUCGAAUUAAUACCGCAUACGACCUACGAGUGAAAGGGGGCACAAGCUCUUGCUAUUAGAUGAGCCUAAAUCAGAUUAGCUAGUUGGUGGGGUAAAGGCCCACCAAGGCGACGAUCUGUAACUGGUCUGAGAGGAUGAUCAGUCACACCGGAACUGAGGCACGGUCCGGACUCCUACGGGAGGCAGCAGUGGGGAAUAUUGGACAAUGGGGGCAACCCUGAUCCAGCCAUGCCGCGUGUGUGAAGAAGGCCUUUUGGUUGUAAAGCACUUUAAGCAGGGAGGAGAGGCUAAUGGUUAAUACCCAUUAGAUUAGACGUUACCUGCAGAAUAAGCACCGGCUAACUCUGUGCCAGCAGCCGCGGUAAUACAGAGGGUGCGAGCGUUAAUCGGAAUUACUGGGCGUAAAGCGAGUGUAGGUGGCUCAUUAAGUCACAUGUGAAAUCCCCGGGCUUAACCUGGGAACUGCAUGUGAUACUGGUGGUGCUAGAAUAUGUGAGAGGGAAGUAGAAUUCCAGGUGUAGCGGUGAAAUGCGUAGAGAUCUGGAGGAAUACCGAUGGCGAAGGCAGCUUCCUGGCAUAAUAUUGACACUGAGAUUCGAAAGCGUGGGUAGCAAACAGGAUUAGAUACCCUGGUAGUCCACGCCGUAAACGAUGUCUACUAGCCGUUGGGGUCCUUGAGACUUUAGUGGCGCAGUUAACGCGAUAAGUAGACCGCCUGGGGGAGUACGGGCCGCAAGGUUAAAACUCAAAUGAAUUGACGG
This 912-nucleotide ribosomal RNA is filed under the name Moraxellaceae bacterium enrichment culture clone L55B-123. RNAcentral describes it as "bacterial SSU rRNA". It matches the Rfam family "Bacterial small subunit ribosomal RNA", at positions 8 to 916 of the family's 1533-position model. The record is from RNAcentral. Lineage: Bacteria; Pseudomonadati; Pseudomonadota; Gammaproteobacteria; Moraxellales; Moraxellaceae.